GUUUUGGUCCUAAACUUGCCAUUGUUUUUUAUCAAAUUUACACAUGCAAGCUUCAACAACCCAGUGAGAUUGCCCUAAACCCCUGAACAGCAAUAAGGAGCGGGUAUCAGGAUCAGAUUAACACCCUAGCCUAAAACGCCUUGCUAUGCCACACCCACACGGGUACUCAGCAGUGAAUAACAUUAAAACAUGAGCGAAAGCUCGACUUAGUUAUGAUAAACAUGGUCGGUAAAUUUCGUGCCAGCCACCGCGGUUAUACGAAAGACCAGAGACAAUGACCCACGGCGUAAAGCGUGACCAGAGCAUGUUAAAAAUCUAAAGAAAUAUUACCCCAAAGUCGUAAAACACCUUGCUCGUAAGACCGCCAACAGUAAAAUGACUUUAAAUAAAAGACCACUCGCCCUCACGAAAGCUAAGAAACAAACUAGGAUUAGAUACCCUACUAUGCUUAGCCCUUAACAUAGACAGCAAACAUACAAUACUGUCCGCCUGAGAACUACAAGUGAAAAACUAGAAACUCUAAGGACUUGGCGGUGUCCCACAUCGACCUAGAGGAGCCUGUCCUAUAAUCGAUAAUCCACGCUAUACCCCACCACCCCUUGCAAUUCAACCUAUAUACCGCCGUCGCCAGCCUACCUUAUGAGAGAAUUAAAAUAGGCUAAAUAGUCAAUAACUAAAACGUCAGGUCAAGGUGUAGUAUAUGGGGUGGAAGAGAUGGGCUACACUUUCUACCACAGAACAUACGAACAGCACAGUGAAACCUGCACUCAAAGGCGGAUUUAGUAGUAAGACAAACAAGAAACUUUGCCUGAAACCCGCUCUGGGACGCGCACACACCGCCCGUCACCCUC
This 851-nucleotide non-coding RNA is filed under the name Trachylepis dumasi. RNAcentral's name for it is "partial 12S ribosomal RNA". It matches the Rfam family "Bacterial small subunit ribosomal RNA". Lineage: Eukaryota; Metazoa; Chordata; Lepidosauria; Squamata; Scincidae. The record is from RNAcentral.